Non-coding RNA from Prunus mume (Japanese apricot), 527 nucleotides. The record is from RefSeq and is a predicted model, not a curated record. NCBI's taxonomy places the organism in Eukaryota, Viridiplantae, Streptophyta, Magnoliopsida, Rosales, Rosaceae.
GACACAAUCGUCUUUCUCCCUCAACAGUGGCUGUUCAUCCAAGCGUAACUUCAUCGUUGACAUCCACGAGAGGUAGAUUUUUUUUGUGCCCAGAAGAUUGUGACUUUGAUGAAAAUUCGUAAAUGGAAAAGGCAGCUGCCCCUGCGGCUUGGAACCCUCAAUUCGGAGGUAUUAUGCCCUGAAUUUUUACAAAAGAAGAAUUGGAAUUACCCUAUAGAAGGCAAAACAAAAAAAUAUAAGAGGAAAAAAGGAGAAAAUUUAUCUAAUUUCCCUUUUUUUAGUUGUAGUUUUUUUUUUCUCGGUCAUUUUGUAUUGCUCAUUGGGGGCAGGAUGCAGGGUCGAUCUAGUUGCUUUACAUUGAUGUAGUUCCAAUAUGUAAAGAUGGAGGUUAUAUAUAUAUAUAUAUAUAUAUAUGUACAUGAUAUAGAGUCAAUUUCAGACCUUGUUAAUGGUAUUAGCCUGUUAGGCUUGUGGGAGAUUCAUUUUGUUUUCUUUCAUUUUCUAUAAAUGAUUCUGAUUAUUUACAA